Molecule: small nucleolar RNA, 97 nt
Filed under: Brachypodium distachyon (stiff brome)
Lineage: Eukaryota; Viridiplantae; Streptophyta; Magnoliopsida; Poales; Poaceae
Description: snoRNA snoZ221_snoR21b
Rfam family: Small nucleolar RNA Z221/R21b
About the family: Z221 is a member of the C/D class of snoRNA which contain the C (UGAUGA) and D (CUGA) box motifs. Most of the members of the box C/D family function in directing site-specific 2'-O-methylation of substrate RNAs.
Source: Rfam by way of RNAcentral
AGGAGGCGAUGAUGAGAAAAGUCAUGCACCACUCUGAAAGAGAUUUAUCUCUUUUGUGCUGAUAAACAAACUUACAACCCAUUUUACAUCUGAGCCG